RNAcentral lists this ribosomal RNA (201 nucleotides) under uncultured bacterium. Its description in RNAcentral is "partial 16S ribosomal RNA". It matches the Rfam family "Bacterial small subunit ribosomal RNA", at positions 524 to 725 of the family's 1533-position model. The record is from RNAcentral.
UACGUAGGGUGCAAGCGUUGUCCGGAAUUAUUGGGCGUAAAGAGCUCGUAGGCGGUCUGUCGCGUCUGCUGUGAAAACUCAGGGCUUAACCCUGAGCUUGCAGUGGGUACGGGCAGACUAGAGUGCGGUAGGGGAGACUGGAAUUCCUGGUGUAGCGGUGAAAUGCGCAGAUAUCAGGGAGGGAACACCCGGUGGGCCGAA